UGGGGAAUAUUGCACAAUGGGCGCAAGCCUGAUGCAGCCAUGCCGCGUGUAUGAAGAAGGCCUUCGGGUUGUAAAGUACUUUCAGCGGGGAGGAAGGGAGUAAAGUUAAUACCUUUGCUCAUUGACGUUACCCGCAGAAGAAGCACCGGCUAACUCCGUGCCAGCAGCCGCGGUAAUACGGAGGGUGCAAGCGUUAAUCGGAAUUACUGGGCGUAAAGCGCACGCAGGCGGUUUGUUAAGUCAGAUGUGAAAUCCUCGGGCUCAACCUGGGAACUGCAUCUAAUACUGGCAAGCUUGAGUCUCGUAGAGGGGGGUAGAAUUCCAGGUGUAGCGGUGAAAUGCGUAGAGAUCUGGAGGAAUACCGGUGGCGAAGGCGGCCCCCUGGACAAAGACUGACGCUCAGGUGCGAAAGCGUGGGGAGCAAACAGG
This 429-nucleotide ribosomal RNA is filed under the name Chloroflexota bacterium. RNAcentral describes it as "Chloroflexi bacterium partial 16S ribosomal RNA". It matches the Rfam family "Bacterial small subunit ribosomal RNA", at positions 355 to 776 of the family's 1533-position model. Lineage: Bacteria; Bacillati; Chloroflexota. The record is from RNAcentral.